This 253-nucleotide ribosomal RNA is filed under the name uncultured bacterium. Its description in RNAcentral is "partial 16S ribosomal RNA". It matches the Rfam family "Bacterial small subunit ribosomal RNA", at positions 524 to 776 of the family's 1533-position model. The record is from RNAcentral.
UACGGGGGGGGCAAGCGUUGUUCGGAAUUACUGGGCGUAAAGGGCUCGUAGGCGGCCAACUAAGUCAGACGUGAAAUCCCUCGGCUUAACCGGGGAACUGCGUCUGAUACUGGAUGGCUAGAGAUUGGGAGAGGGAUGCGGAAUUCCAGGUGUAGCGGUGAAAUGCGUAGAUAUCUGGAGGAACACCGGUGGCGAAGGCGGCAUCCUGGACCAACACUGACACUGAAAAGCGAAAGCCAGGGGAGCAAACGGG